AACAAUUUGCAGUUCAUUCAACGAACAACAAUAUGCAAUUUUGAGGUUAGCAAUAUUAAUCGAGCAAUGCCGACGAUUAUAUAGGUUAAAGCUGUUUAACCAACGCGAAGAUCAAACAAAUAAUUCCGUGAAAAGCGAAUAACAAAGAGCGGAAAAAAAACUAGAAUGACAUAUAAGAUGAAAGAUUAAAACGAAUUCAAUUUGACUGUUGAACGGAACACGAAAUGUGACGAUAGCGUUUCUUGUUAUAGUACGUGCACAGUGUCACGCGCAUUAUCCAUCAGAGGUGACAUUCAUCUUUCUUUCGUAAAAAUACCGGCUAAUUAACCACUAUGCCUAUCCGACCUUGCAAUUAAUCGUACUGUUGCGCAUGGAUACGUGUUUGCUUCCGGCGUAAUCCCUGAUAUACUGCCAAUAGGCUUCUUAAUUACAAUCAGCCGUUCCGAAUUACACUUUUCGCCAGAGAUAUAGGUUAAACAAAUAUAAUGAAUAUCCUUUUGACUUUUGAACGGAAAUGUUACAAUACAUCGUUAAAAUAAUGUGCUCGUGCACAUUUCGUAAUAAUAUACAUUGUUUGAAGUAAUCAGGAAGCCAGCUAAUUCUAAUGAGCUUGCUGAUAUUUUAUCAAGCUUAGAAAAUUCAAAUCGAACACUAAGUAAAUUAAAUAGAUGAAAAAAAGAUAUUAUUAUUUUAGUAUUCAGAACGAUUUAUUAAAUUGUUGGAAACAUUUGAAUCUAUAAAUACGAGUUCGAAUGGAAUAAUUGAAAGUAGUUGAAACUAGUUAACAAUUUUGUCUCAUAUUUUAUGAUAAGAAGUUUAUUACUUAUAUUAGUUAUAUGCUAUAAGGAAAAUUUUAAUGUUCGAAAGAUGAACGAAUUUAAAUUUCAGAUACAUCGUUCACAUGUAAACUCGGUUAUAUAUCUAUGGACAAAUAUAUUUACUGAAAAUAACUGGUCUCUAUUUGUACAGCUUGAAUAAAUAAGCCGCAGAAUCUUCGAUGCAAUAUAUCUUCGAAUGCUUUAAAUAUCACAAUUGUUUUAUUAACACAUAAAAUAACGAUAUUGUAUCAAAAAUAAUUAAAUUAAUUUAAUUUUAAAUACGUUUAAAAAAAUUAUUACUAUUAUUAAAAAAAGAAUAUAUUGAUGAUAAUUUAUAUUAUAAUUUACAAAUUAAUUUUAGAAAUUAUAAUAUAUUACUGAUUAAAUAUUCAAAAAAAAAUAUACAAAGAAAAAAAUAUAUCAUCAUCAUUAUUAUUAUAUUAAUAUGAUAACUAUAUACAAUGUAUAUACAAUGUACAAAAUUGCUAAUAUUGAUGGAAAAUAACAAUCACUUGAACUU
Apis cerana (Asiatic honeybee) is the source of this 1338-nucleotide long non-coding RNA. RefSeq lists it as uncharacterized. Lineage: Eukaryota; Metazoa; Arthropoda; Insecta; Hymenoptera; Apidae. The record is from RefSeq and is a predicted model, not a curated record.